RNAcentral lists this unclassified non-coding RNA (267 nucleotides) under Melitaea cinxia (Glanville fritillary). Its description in RNAcentral is "misc RNA ENSMCXG00005007724.1". The record is from RNAcentral. Lineage: Eukaryota; Metazoa; Arthropoda; Insecta; Lepidoptera; Nymphalidae.
UGACACGACAGCCCUGUACGAGUUGCAGUAAGACUCACGCCCUCAAAAAUAUUACUUUGUAAGUUAGCUUCUUUUAAGUGAAUUUUUUCUUUUUCAUCCCUGAUCCAUUAUCAAUUGAUGGUUCUCUUUUAGGUGAGACGACAGCUCUAUGUGAGCUACAAUGCGAUCUACGCCCUCACAAAUUCUACUUUGUGAGACGAUAGCUCUGUGUGAGCUACAAUGCGAUCUUCGCCCUCACAAAUUCUAUUUUGUAAGUUACUUUCUUUU